GACGUAGGGGGCGAGCGUUUGUCCGGAUUUAUUGGGCGUAAAGAGCUCGUAGGCGGCUCAGAAAGUCGGGUGUGAAACCUUCAGGCUCAACCUGGAGACGCCACCUGAUACUGCUGUGGCUAGAGUCCGGUAGGGGAACACGGAAUUCCCGGUGUAGCGGUGAAAUGCGUAGAUAUCUGGAGGAACACCGGUGGCGAAGGCGGCAUCCUGGACCAAUUCUGACGCUGAGGAGCGAAAAGCCAGGGGGAGCAAACGGGG
RNAcentral lists this ribosomal RNA (258 nucleotides) under uncultured bacterium. RNAcentral's name for it is "partial 16S ribosomal RNA". It matches the Rfam family "Bacterial small subunit ribosomal RNA", at positions 524 to 777 of the family's 1533-position model. The record is from RNAcentral.